AGCAGCCGCGGUAAUUCCAGCUCCAAUAGCGUAUAUUAAAGUUGUUGCAGUUAAAAGGCUCGUAGUUGAAUUUCGGGGUCAGUAGGUCGGUCGUGCCACUGGUAUGCACUGGUCUCACUGAUUCCUCCUUCCUGAUGAACCGUAAUGCCAUUAAUUUGGUGUUGCGGGGAAACUGGACUGUUACUUUGAAAAAAUUAGAGUGUUUAGAGCAGGCUAACGCUUGAAUACAUUAGCAUGGAAUAAUGAAAUAGGACGUUCGAUCCUAUUUUGUUGGUUUCUAGGAUUGACGUAAUGAUUAAUAGGGAUAGUUGGGGGCAUUAGUAUUCAAUUGUCAGAGGUGAAAUUCUUGGAUUUAUUGAAGACUAACUACUGCGAAAGCAUUUGCCAAGGAUGUUUUCAUUAAUCAAGAACGAAAGUUAGGGGAUCGAAGACGAUCAGAUACCGUCGUAGUCUUAACCAUAAACUAUGCCGACUAGGGAUCGGAUGAUGUUAAUUUUUUAAUGACUCA
Molecule: ribosomal RNA, 508 nt
Filed under: uncultured Rhizophagus
Lineage: Eukaryota; Fungi; Glomeromycota; Glomeromycetes; Glomerales; Glomeraceae
Description: SSU rRNA
Rfam family: Eukaryotic small subunit ribosomal RNA
Source: RNAcentral